RNAcentral lists this ribosomal RNA (100 nucleotides) under uncultured bacterium. RNAcentral's name for it is "partial 16S ribosomal RNA". It matches the Rfam family "Bacterial small subunit ribosomal RNA", at positions 1384 to 1482 of the family's 1533-position model. The record is from RNAcentral.
UACACACCGCCCGUCACAUCACGAAAGCCAGUUGUACUAGAAGCCGGUGACUCAACCGUAAGGGGAUAGCCCGUCCAAGGUAUGACUGGUGAUUGGGGUG